GAGAAGUGCUGAAGUGGGGUACAAAGAAAAUUCAAGAAAGAAACUGCAAGAAAGAUACAACAAGAAGAAACCUGCCGAUUCACACAUACAAUCCUCUCUUUCUGUUCUUACGCGCAUAUCCAUUUUGAUCCUUUUCUUGAUUUUUGUUUCUUGUUUUCACAAUCUUCUUCUUGGCUUUUUAUGGCGAAAACGGGGGGUUUUCUUGAAGUUCUUCCUACUACUGUGUCAAACUCAACUGAGUUGAAGAAGGAAUUGCUGAGGCUUGUGAAUGCAAUUCCUGAUGGGGAAGAUUUUAGCUUGGAGAUUGCUGAUGAGGUUUUAAGGAUUUUGACUGCUUUGAAUGAAUUGAAAUUUGAGAAGUCAUCGGAUUCUUUGAAGCUGGUUGAUGAUAAGGAUACGGUUGUUCCUGAUGAAUUUAAAUGUCCCAUUUCAGGAGACCUCAUGGUUGACCCUGUCAUCUUGGCUACUGGGCAGGUUAGAGAUUGCACUUGCUUUUCAACUUUCCGUUCAACUUUCCAUUUAAUUUCUUUUUCCUUUGAGUUUCUUUUGAGGUUAUAUUUUAUUGUUAUUUUCAAGAUUGUGUUUGAGUGUACAUGCUUGAAUUUCACUUUCUUGGGGGAUUUUAGUUCAAGGAUUUUACGUCAAAGUUGGUAUUUGAUCUUGUGUUGAAUGUUUUGCCUUGCAUUUGCAAUAGAUUUUAAGAACUCUGCUUACUUGGAUUUUGGUUCUGCUUUAUAUUUGAGGUUCUGGGUUUGCAUAAACUUCAUACUGGAGUUAAUUAUACCUUCUUCCUUGCCAAAUUCUGCAAGAAUCAAGAUUCUUAAGAGAAUGGUAUUUGUCUUCGAAAUUUAAAAUCAUUAAAAUAUUUUUUAAAAAAUUGUUAAUCUCUUUCCCCUCUCCUUUUACUCUUUUUUCUUGGUGUUUGUAUUGAAUUUCUUCAUUUAUAUGUAAUACCCAGAAUAGGAAAUGAGAAAUAACAUUCAUUUCAAGAAGAUUGAUUUUCUCGAGAAAGUGGUGCCUAGAGCAAAGAAUUUCCUAGGUGAAGAAUCCAGUUGAUAAUUAAGCAUAAUUUGAGAUUAGGAGAAAAUAGGUCCAGUUUAGAAUUUUGAAAUAGCCUGGAUAUUUAUGUUUGACACUUUUCACCAUUAUUUUCCAUGUUGGAGAUCACGUAGUCAGACGGGUAAUCUACAUUGUGGAAAGCGGCCUCACAAACAAGGAUAAGGAAUUGACCCUAGUUGAUUUUGGAGCACUAAUAAAUCUGUCACCAAUAAAGUGCCAAUGUUCUUGUGCUUUAAUUGAUGCUAAUCUAAUUUGUUUUGCCAAUUACAUAUGAUAGUGACAUUCAAACUAGGAUAAGGAUUUAGUCUUCAUCAAUUGUUGAGCACUUACAAAUAUGUUAUCCACACAGCACCAAGAUUUAUAUUCCAUUUUUCUGUCCACCUACUGAUGCUUUGCCAUUGAAUUCCUUUGAUAUGAUAGCUGGUUCCAAUAUUUUCUGUGAUUUGAAUCUUGAAGACUCAUAGUGUAUUCAUUCAUUUUUGGUUUAUCCUGAAAUGUGUCUUGAUUUGCAGACGUAUGAUCGGUCAUUCAUCCUGCGAUGGUUAAAUGAUGGGCACCAGACAUGUCCUCAAACUCAGCAAGUCCUCUCCCAUACUAUCCUUACCCCUAAUCUCUUGGUACGAGAAAUGAUUUCACGUUGGUGCAAUGAGCAUGGAAUUGAGCUCCCCGGGCCUGUUGAGGAUGUUGAGGAAAUUGUUGUUGUUGAUGCAGACAAAGACUACUUGUAUUCACUGUUGAAAAAGAUGUCCUCUUCCCUCUCUGAUCAAAAAGAAGCUGCAAAAGAGCUUCGGCUGCUUACUAAAAAGAUGCCAUCAUAUCGGGCCCUUUUUGGUCAGUGCACUGAUUCCAUUUUGCUUUUACUCAAGCCACUAUUAACAGGCAGAGUUGAUUCUCAUCCUGAUCUCCAAGAGGAUUUGAUUACAACAAUUAUGAACGUCUCCAUUCAUGAAAAUAAUAAGGAAAUAGUUGCUGAACAUCCACUUGUCAUUCCUCUGCUUAUUGAAUCUCUGAAAUAUGGAACCAUGGAAACAAGAAGUAAUGCUGCUGCAACUCUCUUUACCCUAUCGUCUCUUGAUUCAAACAAGAUUCUUAUUGGGAAAUCAGGUGCUCUCAAACCCCUUAUUGACCUCUUAGAGGAAGGGCAUCCAUUAGCCAUGAUGGAUGCUGCAUGUGCAAUAUUCAACCUAUGCAAAGCCCCCGAGAAUAGAGGGAAAGCAGCCUGUGACGGGGCAGUUAGGGUGAUCUUGGAAAAGAUGAUGGAGAGCGUACUUAUUGAUGAGCUGUUGGCUAUUCUUGUUUUGCUUGCUAGCCAUAAGAAGGCGGUUGAGGAAAUGGUGGAGCUUGGUGCUGUGGGUUGCUUGCUCAGAAUUAUCAGGGGAGGCACUUCUGAACGCAACAAGGAGAACUGUGCAGCAAUCUUAUACUUAGUCUGUGUAGAUGAGCGGGCCACGUGGAAGGAGAUUAGGGAAGAGGAAAAUGCUAAUCAUACACUUUCUAAACUUGCUGAAAAUGGUACUUCAAGAGCCAGGAGAAAGAUCAACAGCAUUCUCGAGAAGGUGCAGAAAGCUGCCCAUACUGCGUGAUAAAAGAAAUCUUUACUCCAUAGACAUGAUCAAUUACUUCCUAUACAUUCUUUCAUCCUUCACUCUGCCAUGGAAACACUAAUACUAGCUCAGUUACCUGUAAAAAGUUCACAUACACAAUUGUACAUGUCAUUGUCACCUAUUCUCAUAACAGGCAAGUUUUGGUCCAUCUGAGGCUAAUAGAUAAGCAAAGGGCAUUGAAUUUUACCUCUGGUUUCAUGAAUGAAUACAUUAGUAAUUCUGGUGAGUUUUAAUCUGUCUUCCUGUGGAUUCUUUAAAUUUUUUCCAGGAAGUUUUGUCUUGUGCACUGAAAUAGGAUUGUUAAUGUUUUGGAUUAUUUGAUUGCUAUGAUUCUGGGCAUUGUUGACAAGUUAGAAGAGCGGGCAGGGCCUACUGAUUGGAAAUGAUUGUCACAGAUUAAGAUGCUGAGUGGCUGGAGUUGUUGUGGGGUCUCAAUUGUUCAUUUCACCAGCAACUUUGAGUGUCGGCACCAUAUCGUAAAAAAAAUAUUUUAUAUAGUUGUUUAAUACCAACUAGUUUGGAGUCUUAAAAUAUUUUGAGUGUAUGAUGCUGACAAAAUCUGGACGGUGCUAUAGGAUUCAGUAGCUAGACUAGAAAAAUACAAGCAAAAGGAGUAAAUUGAUGUAGAUAUCCAGUAUCUCCAAGAUGCGCUGACUCCUUAUUCCAUCAUCUGUUAUACCCACCAAGAUUAUAUUACAAGUUAAGC
RNAcentral lists this unclassified non-coding RNA (3369 nucleotides) under Hevea brasiliensis (rubber tree). The record is from RNAcentral. Lineage: Eukaryota; Viridiplantae; Streptophyta; Magnoliopsida; Malpighiales; Euphorbiaceae.